GCGUCGGUGGUGCAAUGGUUGAACACACACUCCCAGAAAGAUUGAGAUCUGAGUUCGAAUCCCAGCUCACACA
Non-coding RNA from Parelaphostrongylus tenuis, 73 nucleotides. Lineage: Eukaryota; Metazoa; Nematoda; Chromadorea; Rhabditida; Metastrongylidae. The record is from the annotation of a GenBank genome assembly.